AUUGAACGCUGGCGGAAUGCUUUACACAUGCAAGUCGAACGGCAGCACGGGUGCUUGCACCUGGUGGCGAGUGGCGAACGGGUGAGUAAUACAUCGGAACGUACCCAGUUAUGGGGGAUAACUAACCGAAAGGUUAGCUAAUACCGCAUACGCCCUGAGGGGGAAAGCGGGGGACCGUAAGGCCUCGCGUAAUUGGAGCGGCCGAUGUCUGAUUAGCUAGUUGGUGAGGUAAAGGCUCACCAAGGCGACGAUCAGUAGCAGGUCUAAGGGGAUGGUCUGCCACACUGGAACUGAGACACUGUCCAGACUCCUACGGGAGGCAGCAGUGGGGAAUUUUGGACAAUGGGGGAAACCCUGAUCCAGCCAUUCCGCGUGAGUGAAGAAGGCCUUCGGGUUGUAAAGCUCUUUCGGCGGGGAAGAAAUGGCAACGGCUAAUAUCCGUUGUUGAUGACGGUACCCGCAUAAGAAGCACCGGCUAACUACGUGCCAGCCGCCGCGGUAA
RNAcentral lists this ribosomal RNA (502 nucleotides) under uncultured bacterium. RNAcentral's name for it is "partial 16S ribosomal RNA". It matches the Rfam family "Bacterial small subunit ribosomal RNA", at positions 30 to 523 of the family's 1533-position model. The record is from RNAcentral.